RNAcentral lists this ribosomal RNA (240 nucleotides) under uncultured bacterium. RNAcentral's name for it is "partial 16S ribosomal RNA". It matches the Rfam family "Bacterial small subunit ribosomal RNA", at positions 1260 to 1500 of the family's 1533-position model. The record is from RNAcentral.
ACGUUUAGCAAAUCCCAGAAAUAACGUCCCAGUUCGGAUGUAGUCUGNAACCCGACUACAUGAAGCUGGAAUCGCUAGUAAUCGCGAAUCAGAAUGUCGCGGUGAAUACGUUCCCGGGUCUUGUACACACCGCCCGUCACACCAUGGGAGUCGGAAAUGCCCGAAGUCAGUGACCUAACCGAAAGGGAGGAGCUGCCGAAGGUGGAGCCGGUAACUGGGGUGAAGUCGUAACAAGGUAUC